AGAUUGAACGCUGGCGGCAGGCCUAACACAUGCAAGUCGAGCGGCAGCACGGGUACUUGUACCUGGUGGCGAGCGGCGGACGGGUGAGUAAUGCCUAGGAAUCUGCCUGAUAGUGGGGGAUAACGUUCGGAAACGGACGCUAAUACCGCAUACGUCCUACGGGAGAAAGUGGGGGAUCUUCGGACCUCACGCUAUCAGAUGAGCCUAGGUCGAUUAGCUAGUUGGUAGGGUAAAGGCCUACCAAGGCUACGAUCCGUAACUGGUCUGAGAGGAUGAUCAGUCACACUGGAACUGAGACACGGUCCAGACUCCUACGGGAGGCAGCAGUGGGGAAUAUUGGACAAUGGGCGAAAGCCUGAUCCAGCCAUGCCGCGUGUGUGAAGAAGGUCUUCGGAUUGUAAAGCACUUUAAGUUGGAGAAGGCAUUAACCUAAUACGUUAGUGUUUUGACGUUACCGACAGAAUAAGCACGGCUAACUCUGUGCCAGCAGCCGCGGUAA
RNAcentral lists this ribosomal RNA (499 nucleotides) under uncultured soil bacterium. RNAcentral describes it as "bacterial SSU rRNA". It matches the Rfam family "Bacterial small subunit ribosomal RNA", at positions 26 to 523 of the family's 1533-position model. The record is from RNAcentral.